This 1140-nucleotide ribosomal RNA is filed under the name Vibrio parahaemolyticus. Its description in RNAcentral is "partial 23S ribosomal RNA". It matches the Rfam family "Bacterial large subunit ribosomal RNA", at positions 1793 to 2925 of the family's 2925-position model. The record is from RNAcentral. Lineage: Bacteria; Pseudomonadati; Pseudomonadota; Gammaproteobacteria; Vibrionales; Vibrionaceae. RNAcentral also lists the same sequence under 1 other name.
GCUGCAACUGUUUAUUAAAAACACAGCACUGUGCAAAAUCGUAAGAUGACGUAUACGGUGUGACGCCUGCCCGGUGCCGGAAGGUUAAUUGAUGGGGUUAGACUUCGGUCGAAGCUCUUGAUCGAAGCCCCGGUAAACGGCGGCCGUAACUAUAACGGUCCUAAGGUAGCGAAAUUCCUUGUCGGGUAAGUUCCGACCUGCACGAAUGGCGUAAUGAUGGCCACGCUGUCUCCACCCGAGACUCAGUGAAAUUGAAAUCGCUGUGAAGAUGCAGUGUACCCGCGGCUAGACGGAAAGACCCCGUGAACCUUUACUACAGCUUGGCACUGAACAUUGACCCUACAUGUGUAGGAUAGGUGGGAGGCUUUGAAGCACGUACGCCAGUAUGUGUGGAGCCGUCCUUGAAAUACCACCCUUGUAGUGUUGAUGUUCUAACGUCGACCCCUUAUCGGGGUUGCGGACAGUGCCUGGUGGGUAGUUUGACUGGGGCGGUCUCCUCCCAAAGAGUAACGGAGGAGCACGAAGGUGGGCUAAUCACGGUUGGACAUCGUGAGGUUAGUGCAAUGGCAUAAGCCCGCUUGACUGCGAGAAUGACAAUUCGAGCAGGUGCGAAAGCAGGUCAUAGUGAUCCGGUGGUUCUGAAUGGAAGGGCCAUCGCUCAACGGAUAAAAGGUACUCCGGGGAUAACAGGCUGAUACCGCCCAAGAGUUCAUAUCGACGGCGGUGUUUGGCACCUCGAUGUCGGCUCAUCACAUCCUGGGGCUGAAGUCGGUCCCAAGGGUAUGGCUGUUCGCCAUUUAAAGUGGUACGCGAGCUGGGUUUAGAACGUCGUGAGACAGUUCGGUCCCUAUCUGCCGUGGGCGUUGGAAGAUUGAAGGGGGCUGCUCCUAGUACGAGAGGACCGGAGUGGACGAACCUCUGGUGUUCGGGUUGUGUCGCCAGACGCAUUGCCCGGUAGCUAAGUUCGGAAUCGAUAACCGCUGAAAGCAUCUAAGCGGGAAGCGAGCCCUGAGAUGAGUCUUCCCUGAUACUUUAAGUAUCCUAAAGGGUUGUCGGAGACUACGACGUUGAUAGGUCAGGUGUGUAAGUGCUGUGAGGCAUUGAGCUAACUGAUACUAAUUGCCCGUGAGGCUUAACCAU